UUGAGAUGAAGAUCCUGAAUACCAGAGAGGGCCGCUGACAGGUCCAGGAUUACCCUUCUAGCACCUAGCAGAGGGAGGAUUCACCACAUCAUGCUUCCUGACAUCUCUCCCUUUGAAGAGCAGUCAGACUCCUGCUUUGCUCUUCAGACUUUGUUUGGGGGUUUAACAGCCAUGUGAAGUGCUCACUACCCCUUUGCCUUCUGCCUUGAUUGUAAGUUUCCUGAGGCCUCCCCAGAAGCUGAGCAGAUGCUUCCUGUACAGCCUGCAGAACUAGCCCACAGCUAUUCCAUGGAUGGGCACAUUUGGAAGUUUGGUUCUAAAAUCUAAAAGAAGAAAUUUAAGAGUGCUGAAGAUAACUGCAACUCCAAACCUAACACUACCUAACAUGGUAGUUCUAUGUUCUGCCAUCUUGAAGCAAAGUGGAACCAGAAGUGAGAGGACUAUUUCUAGGUCAUGCUAUCGUUACCCUGACCCCGGUC
This 479-nucleotide non-coding RNA is filed under the name Pongo abelii (Sumatran orangutan). Lineage: Eukaryota; Metazoa; Chordata; Mammalia; Primates; Hominidae. The record is from RNAcentral.